This 375-nucleotide ribosomal RNA is filed under the name Pseudomonas marginalis. RNAcentral's name for it is "bacterial SSU rRNA". It matches the Rfam family "Bacterial small subunit ribosomal RNA", at positions 1 to 373 of the family's 1533-position model. The record is from RNAcentral. Lineage: Bacteria; Pseudomonadati; Pseudomonadota; Gammaproteobacteria; Pseudomonadales; Pseudomonadaceae.
GGUAAUAAGAGUUUUGAUCCUGGUUCAAGAUUGAACGCUGGCGGCAGGCCUAACACAUGCAAGUCGAGCGGUAGAGAGAAGCUUGCUUCUCUUGAGAGCGACGGACGGGUGAGUAAUGCCUAGGAAUCUGCCUGGUAGUGGGGGAUAACGUUCCCCCUCUCCCCGCUAAUACCGCAUACGUCCUACGGGAGAAAGCAGGGGACCUUCGGGCCUUGCGCUAUCAGAUGAGCCUAGGUCGGAUUAGCUAGUUGGUGAGGUAAUGGCUCACCCAUCCUCCCCGAUCCGUAACUGGUCUGAGAGGAUGAUCAGUCACACUGGAAGUGAGACACGGUCCAGACUCCUACGGGAGGCAGCAGUGGGGAAUAUUGGACAAUG